Molecule: long non-coding RNA, 382 nt
Organism: Colias croceus (clouded yellow)
Lineage: Eukaryota; Metazoa; Arthropoda; Insecta; Lepidoptera; Pieridae
Exons: 3
Source: RefSeq, a predicted model, not a curated record
UAAUAAUUAUUCACUUUUAGCCAACAGAUAAUCCACCAGUGCCAGUGCUAUCUAAUGAUAUGGAACUAUCAGGUACUGUUGAAAUGUCGCAACUCCCUGGUGUCCGUUUAUGUUGUCCCUGCAACAAGUAUGGGCCAUGUGACAACUUGACCCAAUCUGAAUUGCUAACUUGUCACUACUGCAAGCUCCAGCAGCACGCAGCGUGUUUCUGCGUAGUUCGUCACUUCCCAUGAUGUUGAUCCCACCAACAAAUCAUUAUUAUCCAAUCCAAAUUAUCCAAUCAACAAAUAUUAUCAAAUGAUUACUGUAUUAAAGCUGUAUAUGGGGCAUUUCACGCGAAGCGGACACAGAUUUCAGGGUCAGGUUUCAGAUUUCGGUUAUA